This is a long non-coding RNA of Daucus carota subsp. sativus, 350 nucleotides long. RefSeq lists it as uncharacterized. NCBI's taxonomy places the organism in Eukaryota, Viridiplantae, Streptophyta, Magnoliopsida, Apiales, Apiaceae. The transcript has 3 exons. The record is from RefSeq and is a predicted model, not a curated record.
AGGAACUGAUGAUGUUUUCCAGUUCGAUUUGAGUAUUCCAAUGGUUCCUCAACAGGAUGACGGUGAAAAAUGUGGAUACUAUGUUCUUUACUAUAUGUUCAAGUUUUUGAUGUCUUGUCCAGAAAACUUCAACAUUAAUGAACAUGGUGGCUUUAUGAAUAGCAGUUGGUUCACAGAGGAAGAGAUGAACAACUUUUUCAACAAUCUAUCAUCAGAGAAAUUGCAUACUGACCAAAUGCAAGCUUCAGAAGACAUAAUUGUGGUCAAGGAAAAGAAUCUUUCAAGUAAUAUGGAAGUUGAUGGCCAAAAUGUCGAUAAUGAAAUUGCUGCUGAAGAAAUUGAAAAACUUU